ACACCCGUUCCCAUACCGAACACGGAAGUUAAGCUCUCUAGCGCCGAUGGUAGUUGGGACAUUGUCCCUGUGAGAGUAGGACGUCGCCAAGC
Molecule: ribosomal RNA, 92 nt
Filed under: Bacillus cereus
Lineage: Bacteria; Bacillati; Bacillota; Bacilli; Caryophanales; Bacillaceae
Source: RNAcentral